AUUGAACGCUGGCGGCAGGCCUAACACAUGCAAGUCGAACGAGUGGCGGACGGGUGAGUAAUGUGUGGGAAUCUGCCCGAUAGAGGGGGAUAACUACUGGAAACGGUGGCUAAUACCUCAUACUAUCUGAUGUACCCAUAUGGGAUUAGCUAGUAGGUGGGGUAAUGGCUCACCUAGGCGACGAUCCCUAGCUGGUCUGAGAGGAUGAUCAGCCACACUGGAACUGAGACACGGUCCAGACUCCUACGGGAGGCAGCAGUGGGGAAUAUUGCACAAUGGGCGCAAGCCUGAUGCAGCCAUGCCGCGUGUAUGAAGAAGGCCUUAGGGUUGUAAAGUACUUUCAGCGGGGAGGCGUUACCCGCAGAAGAAGCACCGGCUAACUCCGUGCCAGCAGCCGCGGUAAUAC
This 406-nucleotide ribosomal RNA is filed under the name uncultured bacterium. RNAcentral's name for it is "partial 16S ribosomal RNA". It matches the Rfam family "Bacterial small subunit ribosomal RNA", at positions 30 to 526 of the family's 1533-position model. The record is from RNAcentral.